Molecule: ribosomal RNA, 236 nt
Filed under: uncultured bacterium
Lineage: Bacteria
Description: partial 16S ribosomal RNA
Rfam family: Bacterial small subunit ribosomal RNA
Source: RNAcentral
UACAGAGGGUGCAAGCGUUGUUCGGAAUUAUUGGGCGUAAAGCGCGUGUAGGCGGCUUUGCAAGUCGGGUGUGAAAGCCCUCGGCUCAACCGAGGAAGUGCGCCCGAAACUGCAGAGCUUGAGUACCGGAGAGGAUGGCGGAAUUCCCCAAGUAGAGGUGAAAUUCGUAGAUAUGGGGAGGAACACCGGUGGCGAAGGCGCCACUCUGGGCCGAAACUGACGCUGAGAAGCGAAAG